RNAcentral lists this ribosomal RNA (197 nucleotides) under uncultured bacterium. RNAcentral's name for it is "partial 16S ribosomal RNA". It matches the Rfam family "Bacterial small subunit ribosomal RNA", at positions 335 to 524 of the family's 1533-position model. The record is from RNAcentral.
ACUCCUACGGGAGGCAGCAGUGGGGAAUAUUGGACAAUGGGCGAAAGCCUGAUCCAGCCAUGCCGCGUGUGUGAAGAAGGUCUUCGGAUUGUAAAGCACUUUAAGUUGGGAGGAAGGGUUGUAGAUUAAUACUCUGCAAUUUUGACGUUACCGACAGAAUAAGCACCGGCUAACUUCGUGCCAGCAGCCGCGGUAAU